This 403-nucleotide unclassified non-coding RNA is filed under the name soil metagenome. RNAcentral's name for it is "partial contains 5.8S ribosomal RNA, internal transcribed spacer 2, and large subunit ribosomal RNA". The stretch from base 1 to 122 matches the Rfam family "5.8S ribosomal RNA", at positions 35 to 154 of the family's 154-position model. The record is from RNAcentral.
GAUGAAGAACGUAGCAAAAUGCGAUACUUGGUGUGAAUUGCAGAAUCCCGUGAACCAUCGAGUUUUUGAACGCAAGUUGCGCCCGAAGCCUUUUGGCCGAGGGCACGUCUGCCUGGGCGUCACGCAUCGCGUCGCCCCCCACAAUUCUCCGUAAAAGGAACAUGUGUUUUGGGGGCGGAUAUUGGUCUCCCGUGCUCAUGGCGUGGUUGGCCGAAAUAGGAGUCCUUUCGAUGGACGCACGAACUAGUGGUGGUCGUAAAAACCCUCGUCUUUUGUUUCGUGCUGUUGCUCGCAAGGUAAACUCUUUAAAAACCCCAAUGUGUCGUCUCUUGACGACGCUUCGACCGCGACCCCAGGUCAGGCGGGACUACCCGCUGAGUUUAAGCAUAUCAAUAAGCGGAGA